RNAcentral lists this ribosomal RNA (497 nucleotides) under uncultured bacterium. RNAcentral describes it as "partial 16S ribosomal RNA". It matches the Rfam family "Bacterial small subunit ribosomal RNA", at positions 28 to 507 of the family's 1533-position model. The record is from RNAcentral.
GACGAACGCUGGCGGCGUGCCUAAUACAUGCAAGUUGAGCGCUGAAGGUUGGUACUUGUACCAACUGGAUGAGCAGCGAACGGGUGAGUAACGCGUGGGGAAUCUGCCCUUGAGCGGGGGACAACAUUUGGAAACGAAUGCUAAUACCGCAUAAAAACUUUAAACACAAGUUUUAAGUUUGAAAGAUGCAAUUGCAUCACUCAAAGAUGAUCCCGCGUUGUAUUAGCUAGUUGGUGAGGUAAAGGCUCACCAAGGCGAUGAUACAUAGCCGACCUGAGAGGGUGAUCGGCCACAUUGGGACUGUGACACGGCCCAAACUCCUACGGGAGGCAGCAGUAGGGAAUCUUCGGCAAUGGACGAAAGUCUGACCGAGCAACGCCGCGUGAGUGAAGAAGGUUUUCGGAUCGUAAAACUCUGUUGGUAGAGAAGAACGUUGGUGAGAGUGGAAAGCUCAUCAAGUGACGGUAACUACCCAGAAAGGGACGGCUAACUACGUG